ACCCGCGCCGGGCAGCCCCGCCGGCCGCCCUCACGCACGCGCUGUGCCCCGCGGGAGCUCCAGGCCGCCCCUCCUGCCGCCCAGCUUCGUGACUCCACGGCCCCACGCGCCCCUUGCUGCCUUCCGCUGGGGUUUCCGAGCCGCCCCCGAACCGCGCACCCGACUUGCAGGCGUCCGCCUGGGCCUCCCUAAGACACGCCGCAUACAGGACAGGCCCCUGGGCCUUCCGCGGCGAUGGCGCUGCGCUAAUGACGUCAUAGGCCCGGACUCGCGUGAGUGCGCGUGCGUUGGGGCCUCAGCCUUUAUCUCCACUCUGCGGAGAUUCACGCCUGGAAAACGCUCUUCUGAGAGGAUCUGUGGAGGUCAACCCAGGAGAGAGAAGACAGGACUGAAGCACUGAAAGGGUCCUGCCGUUAAGGGCGCAGGAUUGUAUAGAAUAUAUAAUAGCAGUAGCAGCUCUGUUUACGGAGCAUUAACCUUACGUGGAGUUAUUUCCUGCAUUUCCUCCUUUCGUCUUUACAAGGUAGCCGUUUGGCGUCGUGAGCGGAAAGUGACCAGAAGAGGUGUGCAGUUUCCAGGCCUGGCCCAUACAGACCUCCAACAGGUGCUCCCCUGUGCUGUUACUCCUUCUGCCAACUGGAAGCAGAUGGUGACCAGGCUCUGGAGAAGGCAAGGCCUGAAGAUGGGAGAUUCCUAAGUGGAGGAGAACUGUGCCUUACUGACCUAAAUAUCCACUCAGUAUUGUUAUGUGAGAAUAAAUAAACUUGUGUUGACCGUU
RNAcentral lists this long non-coding RNA (778 nucleotides) under Homo sapiens (human). RNAcentral describes it as "HSALNT0370507". Lineage: Eukaryota; Metazoa; Chordata; Mammalia; Primates; Hominidae. The record is from RNAcentral.